GAUGGUUUGAGUUGAAACAGCCAUGAUGGAUGGUUUCAAACUUUUGUUUUGUUUGUUGUUGCGUCACCACUUUUUACUCAAAGGACAAACUUCUCCUGUGGGAUAUAAAACUUACAAGACUGAUGUUCAGCAAGAACUUCUUGGGAGUAAAGAUAACCCACUCCCUAUUCCUUAUCAAGUAAUUAACCAAAAUCCAACACCAGAGGAGGCAAAGUGCAACAUGGCUGUCCUACUGUCUGUAAAUAAUGCAUCUGGCUUAGUUAUUCAA
This is a long non-coding RNA of Paramisgurnus dabryanus, 268 nucleotides long. RefSeq lists it as uncharacterized. Lineage: Eukaryota; Metazoa; Chordata; Actinopteri; Cypriniformes; Cobitidae. The record is from RefSeq and is a predicted model, not a curated record.